Molecule: non-coding RNA, 213 nt
Organism: Harpegnathos saltator (Jerdon's jumping ant)
Lineage: Eukaryota; Metazoa; Arthropoda; Insecta; Hymenoptera; Formicidae
Source: Rfam
AAGACCAUGCUCUACAGGAUCAGUUCUGUAGUAGGUGUUCGUCUACCUCUUCCCUAACACGGAAGUAGAUUCAACCACGAUGAGGAGCAAAAGCUCCCUUCCUUGAGCGUGAGGACGACCGAGGUCUCGGGAACUCUGAGAACUCGGUCAUCGAUGAUCGUUCGCCUCUUGCACUCGGUGCAAGGGGGAGGGGAAGGGAGUAUUCUGAGUGGC